Molecule: ribosomal RNA, 278 nt
Filed under: uncultured Oscillospiraceae bacterium
Lineage: Bacteria; Bacillati; Bacillota; Clostridia; Eubacteriales; Oscillospiraceae
Description: partial 16S ribosomal RNA
Rfam family: Bacterial small subunit ribosomal RNA
Source: RNAcentral
GCAGCCGCGGUAAUACGGGGGAUGCGAGCGUUAUCCGGAUUCAUUGGGUUUAAAGGGUGCGUAGGCGGCCGAGUAAGUCAGCGGUGAAAGACCGGGGCUCAACCCUGGAAGUGCCGUUGAUACUGUUUGGCUGGAAUGAUCCCGCCGCGGGAGGAAUGAGUGGUGUAGCGGUGAAAUGCAUAGAUAUCACUCAGAACACCGAUUGCGAAGGCAUCUCGCGAGGGGUCAAUUGACGCUGAGGCACGAAAGCGUGGGGAUCGAACAGGAUUAGAUACCCC